Molecule: long non-coding RNA, 167 nt
Organism: Oxyura jamaicensis (ruddy duck)
Lineage: Eukaryota; Metazoa; Chordata; Aves; Anseriformes; Anatidae
Exons: 2
Source: RefSeq, a predicted model, not a curated record
GGAGUGAGAAGAAGCCCUGCAGACCCCAAGAUGCCAAUCACAUACCAGCUCCACCCCACUUACAACAGCCACCUGGACCAUGAGCGAUUUGACAGACACUGACCUAGAUGGUGAUACUGUGAUGGAAACCAAACUAGAGCUGUGAAGAAUAAACUGUGGCAGACUUA